This 475-nucleotide ribosomal RNA is filed under the name Geloina erosa. Its description in RNAcentral is "partial large subunit ribosomal RNA". It matches the Rfam family "Bacterial large subunit ribosomal RNA", at positions 1793 to 2571 of the family's 2925-position model. The record is from RNAcentral. Lineage: Eukaryota; Metazoa; Mollusca; Bivalvia; Venerida; Cyrenidae.
UUUGCCUGUUUUAUCAAAAACAUGGCCUUUUGGUUUUAAUUUGAUAAAAGGUUUGACCUGCCCGGUGAUUUUAAAAAGUUUAACGGCUGCGGUUUUGUACUAAGGUAGCAUAAUAAUUUGCCUUUUAAGUGGGGGAUGGAAUGAAUGGUUGGAUGGUAAAGAAGCUGUGUUUUUGAUAUUUGGUGAAGUUUACUUUAAAGUGAAAAGGCUUUAAUUGUUUUAAAAGACGAGAAGACCCCGUCGAGCUUGAUUUAAAGUUUUGUUUUGGUGGUGAGUAAGGUUUUAAAGUUUUGUUGGGGCAAUAAUAACAGAUAAACGUUGUUUAAUUUUGAAUUUUGAUCCAGUAAGAUUGAAAAAAGAAAAAGCUACCGCGGGGAUAACAGGGUAAUUUUUUUUGAGAGUUCAAAUCUAAAAUGGAGAUUGCUACCUCGAUGUUGGAUUAGGGUAGUUUUAUGCUUGCAGGAGGUAUAAUAAA